CAAAAUUGCUAUAGUGUCCAGUGCCUAUAUAGAACAUAUAGUAAAAAUAACUGUGGUCUUAGGCCUGAUAUAGUGGAAAAUGUCAGAAAGUAAAUUGUCAAUAUUUUUGUUAUUUUUCAAUCUACAUGGCUGAAAUUUUGACAGUGAAUGGCUGGUAGGCAUAGAAAUCUGUACCUAAAAACCUGAAAUGAGAGCGCUCGGACAAUGUGAAGUUUGUCGCAUAGACGGGGAUUGACCGCCUUUGUACAUAUAUGUCUACAGCUUCUCAGAUUUGACCGAAGACAGUUGUUCGGUGUUGUGAAUGGAUGUUGUUCGGCCGAAGGCCUUCCAGUCACACAGAAGAUCCUGGUUCGGUCACACGAAGGGUCACUUCCAUUGGUAUUAGUCACAGGAACAAUUAGGAGCACCAGUUGUAGUUUCUCAGGUUGAUAUUUAUUAAGGUUUUUGCUGAAAUUAAGCCAGUUUGGAACAUUCAGCAGGCAGUGAUGUACAUUAAAAUCAUUCUUUUUAGAGAUAGGGGCUGUUUUGCCAGAAUGCUCAGCUGUGAUACACAGUGUAAGAUUUUGUGCAGUGUAAAUGGUCAUGGUGUGCAUGUUUCAUUUACAGAGUGCACUGAAUGCCUGUAAACUGUAAGAUUUGAGUGAAAUAUUCAUUCCAGAAGGACUCAUAAGCUUUUUAGU
Molecule: long non-coding RNA, 680 nt
Organism: Mercenaria mercenaria
Lineage: Eukaryota; Metazoa; Mollusca; Bivalvia; Venerida; Veneridae
Exons: 3
Source: RefSeq, a predicted model, not a curated record